GCGUUCGCUUCGGCAUCACAUACACUAAAAUUGAAACUACAAAGAUUAGCAUGGCACCUGCACAAGAAUGACAUGCAAAUUCAUGAAGUGUUCCAGAUGUGU
Small nuclear RNA from Jaculus jaculus (lesser Egyptian jerboa), 102 nucleotides. Lineage: Eukaryota; Metazoa; Chordata; Mammalia; Rodentia; Dipodidae. The record is from Ensembl.